AAUGGGGGUUAAAGUAUUAUUUAAAGAAAAAAUUAAUAAUUUUAUAGUUAAUUAGUAUUGUAAAAGAAUUUUGAAAUAUGUGAAAAUAAAUUUGUUUAAAAGUAAUUUUAAUUUAAUGUAUCUUGUGUAUCAGAGUUUAUUAAAAAUUUUUAAUAAAUAAAUUAAUUUCUCGAAUUUAAAAGAUUUAAAUAAUUAAAAAAUUUAUUGUAGCAAAAAUAUUUUUAAUAAUUAUUUUGAAAUGAAAUGUUAAUCGUUUUUAAAUAUAUCUAGUUUUUUUAGAAAAAAAUUUAAUUUUAAAUUUAUUAAAUAAUAAAUUUCAUUGGUUAAUUUUAUUAAUAAUAAAUUUUAUAUUUUAAGGGAUAAGCUUUAAAUUAAAUUUUUAUAAUAAAAAUUUUAAUUUUGAAAAUUUUAUAAUUUAUAUUGUUAAUAAAUUUUAUUUUAUUAUAAAUAAUUUCAUUUAAAUAAAAAUUUAAUUUUAUAUUUAAUUUUAUAUAAAAAAAAAUAAUUUUUAAUAAAAUAAAUUUAGUUAUAAUGAUAAAAUUAGUAUAUAGUUAAAAAUUUAAUUAAUUAAAAAUUAAUUAAAUUUAUUAAAUAUUUUAUUUAUAAUUAAAUUAAUUAAAAGGAAUUCGGCAAAAAAUUAUUUUCACUUGUUUAUCAAAAACAUGUCUUUUUGAGUUUAUUUAAAGUCUAAUCUGCCCACUGAUUUUAUUAAAGGGCUGCAGUAUUUUGACUGUACAAAGGUAGCAUAAUCAUUAGUCUCUUAAUUGGUGACUUGUAUGAAAGAUUGGAUGAGAAAUAUACUGUCUCUUAAUUAUUAUAUAGAAUUUAAUUUUUUAUUUAAAAAGUUAAAAUAAAUUAAAAAGACGAGAAGACCCUAUAGAGUUUUAUAGUUAUUUAUAUUAAUAGAUUAUUUGUAUAAUAAAAAUUAUUAUAUUAGUAAUUAUUUUGUUGGGGUGAUAAAAAAAUAAAUUUAACUUUUUUUUAUUUUUAACAUAAAUAAGUGAAUAAUUGAUCCAAUUUUAUUGAUUAUAAGAUUAAAUUACCUUAGGGAUAACAGCGUAAUUUUUUUUUUUAGUUCAUAUAAGAAAAAGAGUUUGCGACCUCGAUGUUGGAUUAAGAUAAAAUUUAAAUGCAAAAGUUUAAAAUUUUGAUCUGUUCGAUCAUUAAAAUCUUACAUGAUCUGAGUUCAAACCGGUGUGAGCCAGGUUGGUUUCUAUCUUUUAAAAUACUUAAUAUUUUAGUACGAAAGGAUCAAAUAUUAUAAUUAAAUUAUUAUUUAUUAAUGAAUUUUAUUAAAUAAAAAUAAAAAUUUUUAUG
Molecule: ribosomal RNA, 1317 nt
Filed under: Scopula subpunctaria
Lineage: Eukaryota; Metazoa; Arthropoda; Insecta; Lepidoptera; Geometridae
Description: 16S ribosomal RNA
Source: RNAcentral